GUGCUAAUGACGGUGAGGGUCCACCCGUUCCCAUUCCGAACACGGUAGUUAAGCUCACUGGUGCCGAAAAUACUUGGCGGGUGACCGCCUGGGAAGAUAGGACGGCGC
This 108-nucleotide ribosomal RNA is filed under the name human gut metagenome. The record is from RNAcentral.